UACGAAGGGGGCUAGCGUUGCUCGGAAUUACUGGGCGUAAAGGGCGCGUAGGCGGAUGUUUAAGUCGGGGGUGAAAGCCCGGGGCUCAACCUCGGAAUUGCCUUCGAUACUGGACAUCUUGAGUACGGGAGAGGAGAGUGGAAUUCCUGGUGUAGCGGUGAAAUGCGGCAGAUAUCAGGAAGAACACCCGUGCUAAGGCGGCUCUCGUAGUACGGUACUGACGCUGAGACGCGAAAGCGUGGGGAGCGAACAGG
RNAcentral lists this ribosomal RNA (254 nucleotides) under uncultured bacterium. RNAcentral's name for it is "partial 16S ribosomal RNA". It matches the Rfam family "Bacterial small subunit ribosomal RNA", at positions 524 to 776 of the family's 1533-position model. The record is from RNAcentral.